Molecule: ribosomal RNA, 460 nt
Filed under: uncultured bacterium
Lineage: Bacteria
Description: partial 16S ribosomal RNA
Rfam family: Bacterial small subunit ribosomal RNA
Source: RNAcentral
CCUACGGGGGGCAGCAGUGAGGAAUAUUGGUCAAUGGACGAGAGUCUGAACCAGCCAAGUAGCGUGAAGGAUGACUGCCCUAUGGGUUGUAAACUUCUUUUAUAUGGGAAUAAAAUGUUCCACGUGUGGGGUUUUGUAUGUACCAUAUGAAUAAGGAUCGGCUAAAUCCGUGCCAGCCGCCGCGGUAAUAAGGAGGGUCCGAGCGUUCGCCGGAUUUGUUGGGGUUAAAGGGAGAGUAGGUGGAUUGUUAAGUCAGGUGUGAAAGUUUGGGGAUCAAACGUAAAAUUGCAGUUGAAACUGGCAGUAUUGAGUACAGUAGAGGUGGGCGGAAUGCGUGGUGUAGCGGUGAAAUGCUUAGAUAUCACGAAGAACUCCGAUUGCGAAGGCAGCUCACUGGACUGCAACUGACACUGAGGCUCGAAAGUGUGGGUAUCAAACAGGAUUAGAUACCCGAGUAGUC